GUAUAGUAAUGCAUAUGAGAGCAAAUGAUUUCGACUUGGGCCUAACUUUUUAAACUAAAAAAAAAGGCUUGCCAAGGAAGCCCACUGCAUCUUGAUCAUGAUUCAUUCGCAAACGAAAGAGCACAACGGAGGACCAUAUCAACUCAUCAGCCCGAACCAAACAAAAGGGCCAUUAACUUGGGUCUUCUUCUUCCUCUGGUGAGUCAGUGACGGGUUCUUUCCCUGAGUCCCUCUUCGGCUCUUCCGCCCCUACAAAAGCAAUGCCUGACGGCUCUGAACAUUCCGACGGACCCUUGACUCGUCAUCGGUCUGGUUGGAGCAGAGAGGCGAGCUGAAGAGGA
This 341-nucleotide long non-coding RNA is filed under the name Olea europaea (common olive). RNAcentral's name for it is "long non-coding RNA (OEUR_LNC004694)". The record is from RNAcentral. Lineage: Eukaryota; Viridiplantae; Streptophyta; Magnoliopsida; Lamiales; Oleaceae.